UCUACGCUACACUCAAUUAUG
RNAcentral lists this microRNA (21 nucleotides) under Medicago truncatula (barrel medic). RNAcentral's name for it is "mtr-miR397-3p". Its record names the gene mtr-miR397-3p. Lineage: Eukaryota; Viridiplantae; Streptophyta; Magnoliopsida; Fabales; Fabaceae. The record is from miRBase by way of RNAcentral.